CUUGGGAUUGGAUAACUCAGACCGGACCUCCGUUUUGCUCCAGGAGCCACCCCCACUCCGGGAGACGACUGGAGAGCAGCUGCUCCUGGAGGAGACACGCCGACUCCAGCUGGGGAGCCCCGCUGGCUGAGACUCCAGAGAAGUCAAAUCUGGGAGGGAAGGCCUUUCAUUUCUUUAGAUUUUAAUUUGCAAAAGGAAGGGAACUCCCGUGUUGAGCUUUGAUUUCUUUCCUAGAAUUUAAUAAGGGACGGGGCGCCACAGAGCUCAAGUCCAGGGUAUUUUUAAGCUGUUGGUAUCGUGUUCCCUGGAGUAUUUUUAUGCUCUCAUGUGGUGUUUGUGGUACGGCUUCCUCUGCUGAGCUAUAUCAGACAGCGUGGCUUGAAAUCUGAGAUGGGAAAUGUAAUCGGGGUGAAUUUUUGGCCUAGGGUGCGUGGGGACUUGGAAUGAUUUUACUUAAUACUCUGUUCUGACCAUUUCAGAGGCUCUGGGCUAACAGCUGAAGCACCCACCCCACAGGGCCUGGGCAGUGAUGGGCAGCAUGGCCGGAAGCUGUGAGGGCACGGCUCCUCCGCUGGCCUGCUCCCCUGAGAGCACAGGUGUCUGGGGCUGACUAUAGGCUUGGCUGUUUAGCCAAUUGGUUAAGUGGACAAAACUUGGAUGGAGUUCGGCCAGAACCCUGAUCCCACCUGUCUUCUGUUUCCAUGGAGGAGAGGCUCUCUUCCUGCCGUCUGCUCACUCAGUUGUCCCAAGGACAGUGGAGUCGCUAACAUAUGGAAAGCCGCGUGCUGACCAGGAAGUGGAGUGGGAGUGUUAAAGUCAGGCCAAGCCUGCGCACGUAUGACACGAUCCAGAAGAGUUCUUUAAUCAAGGGCUUUAUGAGACGGACAAAAAAAAUGGAUGGAACAUGGCCGAGCCAGACCCACACACAGAGAGGAGAGAUAAGGACUCCUGUGUUUGCUCUAUGCUUAACUACAGGAGAGACGCCGUGGGUUCUGAUCACACUUUCAAGUCCUGUAAGGAACUUUGGAUAACCAGCCUGCCUGCCUCAUCUCGCCUCUUUCAGCCUCCUCUGUUCUAGGCUGGCUGUGUUCUCUGCAUCCGGGGAGAAGUCUCUGCGCGUUCUAACGCCGCCCCGUUGACCUCUCAUCUUCCCCACUACCCACGGCUGAGGCCUGAGCCUGCUACGUGACCGUGCGCCGCGGAAUGUGGAGAGGCUCGUCUGUUGCCACAGCACCUACAGUCAUACAGAACCUUCCGGUGGUAACCACGUGACUUGAUGAGACAGCCAAAAUGCAAUUUAUAGGAUCUGCUGGGAGUCACGUGGCAAAUCCACGCCUAUGGGCUUGGCGAGUGCGGGCAUGCUGUUUGCGAGUACAGAGCGGCACCAGAGAACAGGAGUGACUUGUGCUCAGAACAAUUCAGUCAUUUCCACGUAAGGGGGAAAUGAUCAUCAGACAUGUGGAUCCAUCGCAGUCACCUGAGUUGGAACCCUGGCUGCAUCGAGCUGUGUGGCCUGAGACAAGUUACUCAGCCGUUCAGCUUCAUCUUCCUUACCUCCAAAGUGGAGAUAACCAUGCUCAUUGUAAGGAUGAAAAGGUAGGCCAGAUAAAAAUUUCGGUCGUGGUUUUUUGUAGUAUUAUUACUUUUUCAGCUGUUUCUAAAGCUGUCAUCGUUCAGGUGGCUGUGCUGCAGGGAUCAGUGGGUGCCAGGGCUGUAAGAGCAGGGCCGUGAAGACCAUCGAAGAUUCG
Equus asinus (donkey) is the source of this 1748-nucleotide long non-coding RNA. The record is from Ensembl. NCBI's taxonomy places the organism in Eukaryota, Metazoa, Chordata, Mammalia, Perissodactyla, Equidae.